This 125-nucleotide small RNA is filed under the name Marmota monax (woodchuck). Lineage: Eukaryota; Metazoa; Chordata; Mammalia; Rodentia; Sciuridae. The record is from RNAcentral.
GCUGGGCGCAGUGGCUCACGCCUAUAAUCCCAGUGGCUUGGGAGGCUGAGACAGGAGGCUUGAGAGUUCAAAGCCAAUCUCAGCAAGAGCAAGACACUGAACAACUCAGUGAGACCCUGUCUCUA